Molecule: long non-coding RNA, 109 nt
Filed under: Sus scrofa (pig)
Lineage: Eukaryota; Metazoa; Chordata; Mammalia; Artiodactyla; Suidae
Description: lncRNA (ENSSSCG00005032530.1)
Source: RNAcentral
AAAGCGACACUGGACCAGGCAUAAUUACCUAGCAGUUAUUGUCCUGCACCCAUGAGUCUCAUGCAGAUACACUCUGCCCUGGAAGUGAAUCCACUCCUACGCUGGACAU